RNAcentral lists this ribosomal RNA (349 nucleotides) under uncultured bacterium. RNAcentral describes it as "partial 16S ribosomal RNA". It matches the Rfam family "Bacterial small subunit ribosomal RNA", at positions 338 to 698 of the family's 1533-position model. The record is from RNAcentral.
CCUACGGGUGGCAGCAGUCGAGAAUCAUUCACAAUGGGGGAAACCCUGAUGGAGCGACGCCGCGUGGGGGAAUGAAGGUCUACGGAUUGUAAACCCCUGUCAUGUGGGAGCAAAUUAAAAAGAUAGUACCACAAGAGGAAGAGACGGCUAACUCUGUGCCAGCAGCCGCUGUAAUACAGAGGUCUCAAGCGUUGUUCGGAAGCACUUGGCGUAACGGGUGCGGAGGCUGUUUCGUAAGUCGUGGGUGAAAGGCGCGGGCUCAACCCGCGGACGGCACAUGAUACUGCGAGUCUAGAGUAAUGGCGGGGGACCCGGACUUCUCGGUGUAGCAGUGCAAUGCGUAGAUAUC